This 253-nucleotide ribosomal RNA is filed under the name uncultured bacterium. RNAcentral describes it as "partial 16S ribosomal RNA". It matches the Rfam family "Bacterial small subunit ribosomal RNA", at positions 524 to 776 of the family's 1533-position model. The record is from RNAcentral.
GACAGAGGGUGCAAACGUUGUUCGGAAUUACUGGGCGUAAAGCGUACGUAGGCGGUCCAGCAAGUCGGGUAUGAAAGCCCUCGGCUUAACCGAGGAAGUGCAUUCGAAACUACUGGACUUGAAUACUGGAGAGGAUCGCGGAAUUCCCGGUGUAGAGGUGAAAUUCGUAGAUAUCGGGAGGAACACCAGUGGCGAAGGCGGCGAUCUGGACAGAUAUUGACGCUGAUGUACGAAAGCGUGGGGAGCAAACAGG